Molecule: unclassified non-coding RNA, 218 nt
Filed under: Hevea brasiliensis (rubber tree)
Lineage: Eukaryota; Viridiplantae; Streptophyta; Magnoliopsida; Malpighiales; Euphorbiaceae
Source: RNAcentral
UUUAAAGAUGAAUCAUUAGUCGCAUGGGUCUAUAAAAACAAGUUAACCUAAGCUAACAAUAUGGUUUGCAUCAUGAACAGACCAUUUUGGGCAGGAGCAGCAGGAAAUGCAUUGAUUAUCGAGGCAGAUGCCUUCAAAGAAUCAGAUGUCAUCUACAGAGCACUUAGCUCCAGAGGACAUGCUGACAUGAUCCAAACUGCUGAUUUGGUGAGAUAAUG